Molecule: long non-coding RNA, 479 nt
Organism: Achroia grisella
Lineage: Eukaryota; Metazoa; Arthropoda; Insecta; Lepidoptera; Pyralidae
Exons: 3
Source: RefSeq, a predicted model, not a curated record
GUGAGUGUAUGUUAGUUUGGAUGUUUGUUUGUGGUGGACUUUUCGUGUCGUGUCCACGUAGUUUAGGUUCCCUUCUUGCUCCGUGCAAAAUAGAUUUAACGUUACCUCAUGUGGGGUCUAUUCACAGUGAUCGGUUGUUUGUUUGGUUGCCGCGAGUGAUACUUUAUCGAGUGACUAGUUAUUGAUUUGAUUUGUUUGUCAACGCUGAUAUAUUUUUGAGUUUAUACGUUACGUUUUAUAAUUAAACAACAUCGGAAGAUCGAUUUGGCUCGCGAGGAGGAGUUGUCCCGCCACCUGCGGGAGAUGGAGGUGGUGCGAGCCGGCCGCCAGCUUCCCGACGAGGAACUCGUGCAUCUGCAGCGACAGCUACAACAGGCUCACAGCGAGGUGUCGUCUCACGGGGAGGUGGUGCGCGGCAAGCUGUCCGCGCUCGCUCGCUGCGACGCGCGGCUACAACGCACCGCACCGCGCGCCGCCGC